GUCUCUGUGGCGCAAUCGGUUAGCGCGUUCGGCGUUCGGCUGUUAACCGAAAGGUUGGUGGUUCGAGUCCACCCAGUGACG
Non-coding RNA from Gigantopelta aegis, 81 nucleotides. The record is from the annotation of a RefSeq genome assembly. NCBI's taxonomy places the organism in Eukaryota, Metazoa, Mollusca, Gastropoda, Neomphalida, Peltospiridae.